AGCUUUCCAAACUCAGCAGAGCACACAUCAGAGUGUGUUUAGUUCAUCUGGGCUGGUGAGUUCCAGUGAUGAAAGCCUGGUGCUAAUGGAGGCGAGGUCACCGGUUCAAUCCUCAUAGGACCCAGUUCACUUACAAGAGAAAAAACACUACUCAAGAACCAGAGACACCUCCUGACCCCAGUCACUGACCACAAGAAGGAUGGGGUGAAAACGAUGGCUGACCCAGGGCAAAACCAUCUGAUAAACAACUCAGACAGCACACCCCCAACCCCCAGCAGGAGAAGCCAGCACCUUCUAGUUUAAGGAUUUUAUAAAACCGCUUUUAUAAAAAUCCCUGCGGACAAGUUCACAGUAGCUGACUCCCCAAGAUUGUGUUUAUAUUUUCAGAAGGGGGCUGAAGAGCUAUGCCCAGACUGGAGCACGAGUCUGCUUGCUGGUGUGUUUCUCAGUCCAGUUUGAUUUUUUAAAGGUACCCUCCAUGGGACAGAACUCUGCUUACAAACUUUAAAACUGGAUGAUGCAAAAAUUACCUGCACAGCAGAUGACCCAGUGUUUCUUAGAAGGGGGCUCAAGAUCUGCAUAUUCAACAAGCUUCCCAAGGGAUUUUGAUGGAUUCAGAACCACCCUCUACAAAUCCCUAAACUCUUCCUAUUUCAGGAUGGGCUGAGUGUUCAUAUUGCCUCACCUUUCAUCAAAGCACCAUCUGGGAACCAGAACUUGGCAUUUGAGAAAAAUCAGAGAUGACUAAGAAUAAGAACAAUCUCAUCAGGAGAAGAGCCGUUGAUCUUGUUUAUUUGUAUUACAGGAAUUGAGAACAGAAAGGAUCAUUAAACAUCACCUACUCCAAAUGCAUUCGUUUCCAGAACUCCACAAGCAAGGGCAGAGCCCAGGACUCCUGUUGCCUGAUUUUGUGCCUGAGGAUCUUGGCUCUUGAAGCAGGAGAACCUUCAGUGUAUGUUAGAAACUUCUGGGAGGGCUUGGCCAAGAUACAAGCUCUGGAUCCCACCACGGAGAUUCUGCUUCUGCAGGCUGAGGUCUGUCCAGGAAACAGCAUUUUAAUAAGCUCAGAUUCUGAUUUGGAUGAUCUUUGAAACAAACCAAAGCCCAAUACACACAAGCUUCCCAAUCACUUGCAGUUAAUUUUCACAAACGUUUUCUUAUAUUCAUUAUUAAUCUAGAAAAAAAGCAAUAAAUAUUUUCUAAGCACUUCUUUUUAGAAAUUAUUUUUAUUAUGGUUACAUAUAUGAAAAAUAAUAAAAAU
This 1261-nucleotide long non-coding RNA is filed under the name Homo sapiens (human). RNAcentral's name for it is "HSALNT0026404". Lineage: Eukaryota; Metazoa; Chordata; Mammalia; Primates; Hominidae. The record is from RNAcentral.